Long non-coding RNA from Salvelinus sp. IW2-2015, 1423 nucleotides. RefSeq lists it as uncharacterized. NCBI's taxonomy places the organism in Eukaryota, Metazoa, Chordata, Actinopteri, Salmoniformes, Salmonidae. The record is from RefSeq and is a predicted model, not a curated record.
AAACAUUUUCCUGCACACUAGCUUGCUACUUUGUGUAGGUCUACACACGUUACCGUCCUCCCCUGAUGACCAUUCAUAAUUUAACUCAAAUGUUAGUGGAAAUAUGUUCAUCUUUGCGGUGCGAAGUUUGUUAACUAUCUAAGAUAGAUAACAAUCGUUAAUGUAAUUAACGGUUACUAGAACACCUGUAAAGCGGAGUGAUACAUGUAUAGUUAAAAGUCCGUGCUGUUACACUCUACUCCAAUCAAAUUACUUGGUCGUAUUAUAAAUACCUGUGAACAUAAUUUGUUUUUUUAUACUCUUUUCAUCGAAAGCAGUGGGACCGUUUUACAUGCGUUUGCUUUUAGUAACGUUCAAGAUGCUUUGGCGUUGCGUGAUCUUCUGCGUUUUUAUUACUUUUUCAUUGAAACUGUUGUUGAGCCAUAUCAAUAGRUUGCACAGUCGCAGCCCUGAUUUCUGGUUGCUCUGUGGUAUUGACGGAUGCACUGAGRAAUAUAGAGUGUACAAUUCCUUCUAUCAUCAUGUAAAGAGAAGACACCUUCAACACCUACUUGAAGGCACCCGACCAGGUGAACAGCCAUCGGAGGAAAGCCAAGUACCACCGGAACAAGUAAGUAGCUAGCUAGGAUUUGUUCUUUCUUCUGGAUUAAAAAAAAAUCAUUUUAAUGAACUAUUCGAUUAUUUUAGCUAUAAUGGCUAAAGCUGGGUUAAUGUGAAAAUAAUCAAUGAUAAAUGGGAACAAAACACUUAAAGCUCUAUUGGUGAAACUAAAAUACAAUUUCAAAUAAUAAUCUGUUUCUUUGAUAUGCGGUACACAGGACAACAUUCAACCCGAUCAGCUUCUAGCUAACUCCAGCAUCACUGAUCAGCAACUCAAUACACCUGACUUGGAUGAAGGGCAAAGGGGCAUUGACCAACAUGGCGCUGUCACAGUGCAACAAGAUCUGACAACACAUGCCAAUGCUUUUGUGAUGUGCCAGAGCCAAGCAUCGUCUCACAGAAAGGCGUGAAUGACAUUGUUGCUGGGGUACAGCAGUAUCMAUGAUCACUAUUGGACAACCUCAGGAAGCAGAUGGAGGGAGUGCUAAAGAAGCAUUCAGGAAGCACAUUAGGUCAGCUUGAAAAAGAUGCAAUGGAUAUAUUUGACARUUUCAUUGACCCCUUUGCUGACGUUGCAGCAACAUUUAGACAGGACAGUGUUUUUAAGAAGCAGUUCAGCUGUUUGGACGCAGARGAAAUUCCAAUUGCUCGAACCAGAUGCAGGAUGAAAUGUAGAGGCUCAAAAUACUUUUUCAUCAAAGACAAAUUAUUUCAUUAUGUACCRUUAGUCAAAAGUCUAGAACAGUUCUUAUCACACCCAAGGAUUGUGUCUAUGGUUGAAAAGGGACCCCAGAUGUGCAGGGAAAGUUUUKUUCAUGACAUU